GGGGAUUUAGCUCAGUGGUAGAGCGCUCGCCUAGCAAGUGUGAGGCCCUGGGUUCGGUCCUCAGCUCUG
Molecule: transfer RNA, 69 nt
Filed under: Rattus norvegicus (Norway rat)
Lineage: Eukaryota; Metazoa; Chordata; Mammalia; Rodentia; Muridae
Rfam family: tRNA
About the family: Transfer RNA (tRNA) molecules are approximately 80 nucleotides in length. Their secondary structure includes four short double-helical elements and three loops (D, anti-codon, and T loops). Further hydrogen bonds mediate the characteristic L-shaped molecular structure. tRNAs have two regions of fundamental functional importance: the anti-codon, which is responsible for specific mRNA codon recognition, and the 3' end, to which the tRNAs corresponding amino acid is attached (by aminoacyl-tRNA synthetases). tRNAs cope with the degeneracy of the genetic code in two manners: having more than one tRNA (with a specific anti-codon) for a particular amino acid; and 'wobble' base-pairing, i.e. permitting non-standard base-pairing at the 3rd anti-codon position.
Source: Rfam by way of RNAcentral